ACCUGGCUCAGGACGAACGCUGGCGGCGUGCCUAAUACAUGCAAGUCGAGCGGACAGAUGGGAGCUUGCUCCCUGAUGUUAGCGGCGGACGGGUGAGUAACACGUGGGUAACCUGCCUGUAAGACUGGGAUAACUCCGGGAAACCGGGGCUAAUACCGGAUGGUUGUCUGAACCGCAUGGUUCAGACAUAAAAGGUGGCUUCGGCUACCACUUACAGAUGGACCCGCGGCGCAUUAGCUAGUUGGUGAGGUAACGGCUCACCAAGGCGACGAUGCGUAGCCGACCUGAGAGGGUGAUCGGCCACACUGGGACUGAGACACGGCCCAGACUCCUACGGGAGGCAGCAGUAGGGAAUCUUCCGCAAUGGACGAAAGUCUGACGGAGCAACGCCGCGUGAGUGAUGAAGGUUUUCGGAUCGUAAAGCUCUGUUGUUAGGGAAGAACAAGUGCCGUUCAAAUAGGGCGGCACCUUGACGGUACCUAACCAGAAAGCCACGGCUAACUACGUGCCAGCAGCCGCGGUAAUACGUAGGUGGCAAGCGUUGUCCGGAAUUAUUGGGCGUAAAGGGCUCGCAGGCGGUUUCUUAAGUCUGAUGUGAAAGCCCCCGGCUCAACCGGGGAGGGUCAUUGGAAACUGGGGAACUUGAGUGCAGAAGAGGAGAGUGGAAUUCCACGUGUAGCGGUGAAAUGCGUAGAGAUGUGGAGGAACACCAGUGGCGAAGGCGACUCUCUGGUCUGUAACUGACGCUGAGAGCGAAG
This 758-nucleotide ribosomal RNA is filed under the name Bacillus sp. S1-13. RNAcentral's name for it is "bacterial SSU rRNA". It matches the Rfam family "Bacterial small subunit ribosomal RNA", at positions 17 to 758 of the family's 1533-position model. Lineage: Bacteria; Bacillati; Bacillota; Bacilli; Caryophanales; Bacillaceae. The record is from RNAcentral.